UGGUGUGAGCACUGCUAUUGCGUGUUUACUGUGACCGUGACAUUUUACAGUUACGUAGAUGGGGGCGUGAGACGUUUUUGUACGAGGCAUCAAUGCUAACACCUUUUUUGCGAGAACCUUUUUAUGCUUGUUAAGAACAAUGGAAGUCGUUCACCGCAUAACAAACCCAUAGUUAGGGUAGCCUCUAUGAUGUUUGGAUACCACAUGAACACGCUUACUGAUAAAUGUAAUUGUUCUUCUUUUGGAGUGUCCCUGUAUGGUUAAGAAGCAACAAGCGUGCCGUGAAAAAUUUAACGAUUCA
Long non-coding RNA from Daphnia pulicaria, 301 nucleotides. RefSeq lists it as uncharacterized. The transcript is spliced from 2 exons. The record is from RefSeq and is a predicted model, not a curated record. NCBI's taxonomy places the organism in Eukaryota, Metazoa, Arthropoda, Branchiopoda, Diplostraca, Daphniidae.